RNA transcript from Tachysurus fulvidraco (yellow catfish), 1361 nucleotides. It is a transcript of the gene named type 1 phosphatidylinositol 4,5-bisphosphate 4-phosphatase-like, with no coding region annotated. The transcript is spliced from 10 exons. The record is from RefSeq and is a predicted model, not a curated record. NCBI's taxonomy places the organism in Eukaryota, Metazoa, Chordata, Actinopteri, Siluriformes, Bagridae.
ACGAAGCCACGCCCACUUCCCUUCCCUGCUCAUAUCCAGCUCUAUGGUGAAGGACUGAAGACUUUUCUGAUGUUUUCUCUCAGUUUCAGCUGUAAAUAACAGUGACCAUGACGGAGAAAGCAGAAGAAUCUCCUCUGCUGAGUGCAGAGACGAGUGAAGCCGAACUUUACACGUCCGUCACGUCAGAACAUGUCCCCUCUGCUCCACCAUAUCAGGCAGAGGCUCCUCCUCCAUACUGGGCAGUGCCCGUUGUUGGCUCCGCCUCCCUGUGCUGUGGUGUGUGUGGAGCUGAGCUGGACUCUAACAGCAACCAGUAUAUAGUGAAGUGUGGAGUUUGUCAGGAGGCCACGCCCUUGAGGAGUCCCCCUGUAGGAAAGAGGUUUGUUCGCUGUCCAUGUCAUUGUCUACUGAUAUGUAAAAUCUCCUCCCAGCGAGUGGCGUGUCCUCGUCCUCAGUGUAAGAGAGUGAUGGAGCUGACGGAUCCGAGCAGUGCUGUGGUGCAGUGUUAUGGGACACGAGCCAUCUGUGGCCACUGCAGACAAACCUUUCUGGCCCCUCGAUCAGGAGGAAAGCAGCGUGUUCGAUGUCCUCACUGCCGUGAAGUGAGCUUUAUUGGACAGCACUAUCCCAUGAAGCGCUGCAUUUACUCCUCACUGUUGGCCAUCUUCUUCGCCGUCAUCGCUGGAGGACUAAUCGCUGCCACAGUGGAUGAGGCGAGGGAUUACAACGCCAUCUACGCUGUCUGGACUUUUUUGCUGAUGUUGUGUAGCUUCGCAGCAUAUUUCUCCUCAAGAAGAGUCGCAAAGAAUCAACACAUCUUCUGAGGUUACUUUGCAGAAAUGGCUGAAUUUGGAGAGAUCGUUGAUGCAGUUGAAGAAGCGAUAGAAGGAGCAGAGGAAGGUAUUGAGGAACUAUCUGAAGAAGCACAAGAAGCACUAAGAAGUGAAAUCGCUGAAACCCGCACUGUGAUCGAAGAGCUUUCUACAACCCAGAGUAAGCUCCAAGAGUUCCUUUCAGCCAUCAAAGAUUGUGUUUCUACAGUGGCCAAGUUCACUGCCAAAAAUAUAGUGAUUGGCGCCAUCCUGUGGGGGGUAAAUGUCGCUUUAAACAAGCUUCUUCCACACGGUCAAUCAGAAACCCACAAGCGCAUGAGUAAUGUAAUAAAGGCCUUGAGUGAUGUGAUCAGUACUGAAACCAAGAUAAACCAGAAGGCACUGGACUGGAUGAAGAUCCACAAGGAUGACACCAUCUGUCUGGAAGGAUUUGAACUGCCAAUGGAAGCCAUUCUCUCUAAAUACCUCACACCUAUAGAACAGGCCACUGAAGAUGCCGAAACCAUCGCUAAGUCUCUUCAAGAACAU